This 445-nucleotide ribosomal RNA is filed under the name uncultured bacterium. Its description in RNAcentral is "bacterial SSU rRNA". It matches the Rfam family "Bacterial small subunit ribosomal RNA", at positions 331 to 792 of the family's 1533-position model. The record is from RNAcentral.
CCAGACUCCUACGGGAGGCAGCAGUGGGGAAUAUUGCACAAUGGGGGAAACCCUGAUGCAGCGACGCCGCGUGAGUGAAGAAGUAUUUCGGUAUGUAAAGCUCUAUCAGCAGGGAAGAGAAUGACGGUACCUGAGUAAGAAGCCCCGGCUAACUACGUGCCAGCAGCCGCGGUAAUACGUAGGGGGCAAGCGUUAUCCGGAUUUACUGGGUGUAAAGGGAGCGUAGACGGCAGUGCAAGUCUGGAGUGAAAGGCGGGGGCUCAACCCCCGGGACUGCUCUUGGAACUGCGUGGCUGGAGUGCAGGAGGGGCAGGCGGAAUUCCUGGUGUAGCGGUGAAAUGCGUAGAUAUCAGGAGGAACACCGGUGGCGAAGGCGGCCUGCUGGACUGCAACUGACGUUGAGGCCCGAAAGCGUGGGGAGCAAACAGGAUUAGAUACCCCCGUA